AUGGGAUAUUAUGGAGUUAUUUCUCUGCUGUAUGUUGGUAUUAUGGAGUGCAGCUGUAUAAGACGUUGAACUACCCAAUUGGCUUAAUUGGCACCAGUUUUAGUGGGAGCGCUGUAGAAUCAUGGUCUUCACCAGAUGCCCUCACACAAUGUGGAUGGACUGGGAAUGCUUUACCUUCUGCACCAAUAUUUAUUCCUGAAUUUGGUAACGUGGACAUCAUUAUCUUCAAUAAUUAUAGUUGUAUGUGGAAUGCCAUGAUUGUGCCGUUUCUUAAUAUGACCAUCUACGGUUCCAUCUUUUAUCAAGGAGAGACAAAUGCUUUAGGUAGAAAGUUAGAUCUUUUGCCAUAUGAAUGUAGUUUUCCUGCCAUGAUAAAUGAUUGGAGAGCAAAGUGGCACAUUUCUACACAACAUAACACUGACCCACAGUUUCCUUUUGGCUUUGUACAGCUGUCAGCUAUUAGUCAAAGUAUAGGAAUUGAUCAAUAUUACUUUGCCGCGGUACGUUGGGAACAGACAGCAGAGAAGGGCUACG
Long non-coding RNA from Xenia sp. Carnegie-2017, 534 nucleotides. RefSeq lists it as uncharacterized. The record is from RefSeq and is a predicted model, not a curated record. The transcript has 3 exons. NCBI's taxonomy places the organism in Eukaryota, Metazoa, Cnidaria, Anthozoa, Malacalcyonacea, Xeniidae.